RNAcentral lists this ribosomal RNA (407 nucleotides) under uncultured bacterium. Its description in RNAcentral is "partial 16S ribosomal RNA". It matches the Rfam family "Bacterial small subunit ribosomal RNA", at positions 30 to 526 of the family's 1533-position model. The record is from RNAcentral.
AUUGAACGCUGGCGGCAGGCCUAACACAUGCAAGUCGAGCGGAGUGGCGAACGGGUGAGUAACACGUGGGGACCUGCCCUGCACUUCGGGCUAAGCCUGGGACACUGGGUCUAAUACCGGAUAUUGUGGGAUGGGCCCGCGGCCUAUCAGCUUGUUGGUGGGGUAGUGGCCUACCAAGGCGACGAUCCGUACCUGGUCUGGGAGGAUGAUCAGUCACACUGGAACUGAGACACGGUCCAGACUCCUACGGGAGGCAGCAGUGGGGAAUAUUGGACAAUGGGCGAAAGCCUGAUCCAGCCAUGCCGCGUGUGUGAAGAAGGUCUUCGGAUUGUAAAGCACUUUAAGUUGGGAGGCGUUACCAACAGAAUAAGCACCGGCUAACUUCGUGCCAGCAGCCGCGGUAAUUC